CUCGUAGGUGGCCAACUAAGUCAUGCGUGAAAUCCCUCGGCUUAACCGGGGAACUGCGUCUGAUACUGGAUGGCUUGAAUCCGGGAGAGGGAUGCGGAAUUCCAGGUGUAGCGGUGAAAUGCGUAGAUAUCUGGAGGAACACCGGUGGCGAAGGCGGCAUCCUGGACCGGCAUUGACACUGAGGAGCGAAAGCCAGGGGAGCAAACGGGAUUAGAUACCCCGGUAGUCCUGGCCCUAAACGAUGAAUGCUUGGUGUGACGGGUAUCGAUCCCUGUCGUGCCGAAGCUAACGCAUUAAGCAUUCCGCCUGGGGAGUACGGUCGCAAGGCUGAA
Molecule: ribosomal RNA, 332 nt
Filed under: uncultured Acidobacteriota bacterium
Lineage: Bacteria; Pseudomonadati; Acidobacteriota
Description: bacterial SSU rRNA
Rfam family: Bacterial small subunit ribosomal RNA
Source: RNAcentral